GUCUGCAGCUGUACCACCUGCAGUUCAGGCUGGGUUAUCACACCUGUAGCUAAGCGGGUUUGGACCUGGCCAAUCCCUGGGUGGGAGACCAACUUAGAAAGCUGGGUUGCUGCUGGGA
This 118-nucleotide ribosomal RNA is filed under the name Paramormyrops kingsleyae. Lineage: Eukaryota; Metazoa; Chordata; Actinopteri; Osteoglossiformes; Mormyridae. The record is from RNAcentral.